UGCAAGUCGAGCGGUCCUUCGGGACAGCGGCGAACGGGUUAGUAACGCGUGGGAACGUGCCCUUUAGUACGGAAUAGCCAUUGGAAACGAUGAUUAAUACCGUAUACGCCCCAAGGGGGAAAGAUUUAUCGCUAAAGGAUCGGCCCGCGUUAGAUUAGGUAGUUGGUAGGGUAAUGGCCUACCAAGCCGACGAUCUAUAGCUGGUUUGAGAGGAUGAUCAGCAACACUGGGACUGAGACACGGCCCAGACUUCUACGGAAGGCAGCAGUAGGGAAUCUUGGACAAUGGGCGAAAGCCUGAUCCAGCCAUGCCGCGUGAGUGAUGAAGGCCCUAGGGUUGUAAAGCUCUUUCGCCAGGGAAGAUAAUGACGGUACCUGGUAAAGAAACCCCGGCUAACUCCGUGCCAGCAGCCGCGGUAAUACGGAGGGGGUUAGCGUUGUUCGGAAUUACUGGGCGUAAAGCGCACGUAGGCGGAUUAAUAAGUCAGGGGUGAAAUCCCGAGGCUCAACCUCGGAACUGCCUUUGAUACUGUUAGUCUUGAGUUCGAGAGAGGUGAGUGGAAUUCCGAGUGUAGAGGUGAAAUUCGUAGAUAUUUCGGAGGAACACCAGUGGCGAAGGCCGGCUCACUGGCUCGAUACUGACGCUGAGGUGCGAAAGCCGUGGGGAGCAAACAGGAUAAGAUACCCUGGUAGUCCACGCCGUAAACGAUGAGAGCUAGUCGUUGGAGAGUUCGCUUCUUCGGUGACGCAGCUAACGCAUUAAGCUCUCCGCCUGGGGAGUACGGUCGCAAGAUUAAAACUCAAAGGA
Molecule: ribosomal RNA, 807 nt
Filed under: uncultured marine bacterium
Lineage: Bacteria
Description: bacterial SSU rRNA
Rfam family: Bacterial small subunit ribosomal RNA
Source: RNAcentral